Molecule: ribosomal RNA, 312 nt
Filed under: Vinciguerria lucetia
Lineage: Eukaryota; Metazoa; Chordata; Actinopteri; Stomiiformes; Phosichthyidae
Description: partial 16S ribosomal RNA
Rfam family: Bacterial large subunit ribosomal RNA
Source: RNAcentral
GGAAGAACGUGCCCUCCCCUCUUUUCUUGCCUUUGGUUGGGGCGACCACGGAGAAAAUCUUAACCUCCACGUGGAUUGGGACUACUAGUCCUAAAGCUUAGGCCUACCGGCCCCGGAGACAGAAAUUCUGACCUGCACUGAUCCGGCACCCGAUUAACGGACUUAGUUACCCUAGGGAUAACAGCGCAAUCCCCUCCAAGAGCUCCUAUCGACGAGGGGGUUUACGACCUCGAUGUUGGAUCAGGAUGUCCUAAUGGUGCAGCCGCUAUUUAGGGUUCGUUUGUUCAACGAUUAAAAUCCUACGUGAUCUGA